GACGAACGCUGGCGGCGUGCUUAACACAUGCAAGUCGAACGGAAAGGCCCUGCUUUUGUGGGGUGCUCGAGUGGCGAACGGGUGAGUAACACGUGAGUAACCUGCCCUUGACUUUGGGAUAACUUCAGGAAACUGGGGCUAAUACCGGAUAGGAGCUCCUGCUGCAUGGUGGGGGUUGGAAAGUUUCGGCGGUUGGGGAUGGACUCGCGGCUUAUCAGCUUGUUGGUGGGGUAGUGGCUUACCAAGGCUUUGACGGGUAGCCGGCCUGAGAGGGUGACCGGACACAUGGGCACUGAGAUACGCCAGAGACUCACGGGGGAGGCAGCAGGGGGGAAUAUUGCACAAGGGGCGGAAGCCUGAUGCAGCAGCGCCGCGUGCGGGAUGAGGGCCUUGGGGGUGUAAACCGUUUUCGCCUGUGACGAAGUGUGAGAGAGGGAAAGGGGUAAAGAAGCACGGGCUAACCACG
Molecule: ribosomal RNA, 466 nt
Filed under: uncultured bacterium
Lineage: Bacteria
Description: partial 16S ribosomal RNA
Rfam family: Bacterial small subunit ribosomal RNA
Source: RNAcentral